UUCCUUUCUCAAUUUUAUUAAAACAUUGUUUCAACUUAAGUGUGUUUGUUUUUAUAUUUUCAAUUGAACAAAUAAUGAUGUUCAAGAAAUUUUAAAUGAAACAAUUUAUUUUUAAAAAUACACCCAAACGCACACAUACACAACAGAUGAAUUUACAUACAAACAUAUCAUUAUUCUAACUCACCCAUCACCUACAACGACACACUUUAAAGUUUGCAUUAUAAUUAUCUAUAUAAAAUAACC
Molecule: long non-coding RNA, 243 nt
Filed under: Mytilus galloprovincialis (Mediterranean mussel)
Lineage: Eukaryota; Metazoa; Mollusca; Bivalvia; Mytilida; Mytilidae
Source: RNAcentral